RNAcentral lists this unclassified non-coding RNA (403 nucleotides) under Hevea brasiliensis (rubber tree). Lineage: Eukaryota; Viridiplantae; Streptophyta; Magnoliopsida; Malpighiales; Euphorbiaceae. The record is from RNAcentral.
GAAGUGGUUGGAAUAACUGGUUUGAUUUUGACUAAACUUGAUGGUUCUGCUAGAGGUGGCUGUGUGGUCAGUGUUGUAGAUGAGCUUGGCAUCCCUGUAAAGUUUGUAGGUGUUGGAGAAGGUGUUGAAGAUCUGCAACCCUUUGACGCUGAGGCCUUUGUUAAUGCUGUAUUUUCAUGAGGUCUUAAAUGUGGCAAUAUACAUGACAAUGAAUCAGUCUUGCUAGCUGCUGAAAGUUCUCGGCUAAACGAUCAGACAUGACAAUGAGAUGUGGAAGCUUAAAGACAUUUUCACGAGGCAGACAACUGAGGUUGCGGAUCCCUUAAUUGGUUUCGGUUGCAUGUAUGAUGCUGUUGUUUAGAUCCCAUAUGCUAUUCUUCCAUUUUCACCAGACAGAUUAGAC